This 292-nucleotide ribosomal RNA is filed under the name uncultured bacterium. RNAcentral's name for it is "partial 16S ribosomal RNA". The record is from RNAcentral.
GGACUACCCGGGUAUCUAAUCCUGUUUGCUCCCCUUGCUUUCGCUCCUCAGCGUCAGGAAUAAAAUAGAAAAGCGCCUUCGCCACCGGUGUUCUUCCACAUAUCUACGCAUUUCACCGCUACACGUGGAAUUCCCUUUUCUCCUUCCAUCCUCUAGAGUGGGAGUUUUAGAUGCGGGUCCGAAGUUGAGCCCCGGGAUUUCACAUCUAACUUUCCACUCAGCCUACGUGCUCUUUACGCCCAAUAAAUCCGAUUAACGCUUGCACCCUCCGUAUUACCGCGGCUGCUGGCAC